Callithrix jacchus (white-tufted-ear marmoset) is the source of this 2138-nucleotide long non-coding RNA. The record is from Ensembl. Lineage: Eukaryota; Metazoa; Chordata; Mammalia; Primates; Cebidae.
GUUAAUGUCUCAGCAGUGAAGAGGAGUUAGAGAUUUUAUUGAGCUCUGACUGUGGUUAUUUUAGCUAGAACACUCACGGUGCACAUUGCUUUUAGUUUAUGUGAGCAGACUCUUCAAAGUGGAAGAUUUUGGAACACAAAAUGGAUUGGACAUACAAUCCAUUUUUACGAGUCAAAGAUUUGGGUUUAAAAAUCAGUAAAUCUGGUCCAGUUUGUAGGUUGUGAAAGGAGAUAGACUAAAACAUCUAAAGGUGUUUUAAGACUCUAGACUUUCCUUGUCCACGAUGAUGACCAACUAGCCACAUGUGUCUUCUGAGCACUUGAGAGAUGGCCAGUCCUCACAGUGUUGAACUUUUCCAAAUGAUGGAUUGGACUACAGCAUGCAGCUUUUCCUAUCCAGGGAAGGUGAAAACUAGGAAAUGCACCACAGUAGGAGGAAUAAUGCGAGUCCUUUUCCAGUUCCCUAAAUCAGCAAUGAUCAGGGUUGCAAUCAAAGUGAAUUCCUUCUUUGGGGAAAGCCUUUCUGGCUUCAUCAACCUUGACGUUUGCAGGAGAAAGCCACCUAGCAGCAUGCCUUCCAAAGAGUGGAAGUGGAGAGAGGGUGACCGAGCCGAGUAGAGACCGUUCCAGGGCAAGUGGCCAGGGUCUCCAUGCAGGACCCAAGCAGCAGCCUAAUAAAAAUUCGUUUAAAAUGAAAACUACAAUAAAACCCCAGAGUAGUACCAAUUCUACAUAAAAUGACAUUGAUGCUUGCAUUUAUACCUUACUUGUCUGCAAAGAAUUUGAGGUGUCAGGCCAGACGUGGUGGCUCAUGCCUGUAAUCCCAGCACUUUGGGAGACUGAGGCAAGUGGAUCACAAGGUCAAGAGAUGGAGACCAUCUGGCUGACAUGGUGAAACCCCAUCUCUACUAAAAAUAUGAAAAUUAGCUGGGUGUGGUGACAUGCAUCUGUAGUCCCAGCUACUGGGGAGGCUAAGGCAGGAGAAUAGCUUAAACCCGGGAGGCGAAGAUUACAGUGAGCCAAGAUCACACCACUGCACUCCAGCCUGGCAACAGAGUGAGACUCCAUCUCAAUGAAUGAAUGAAUCAAUCAAUCAAUCAAAGAAUUUGAGGUAUCAAAAGAUGAAGAAAAAUGAACAGUGGGAAGGAAGUCAAUAGGGAAAGAUUACAUCAAUAUUAAGCUUUAUGAAAAUUCUUUUAAUACAAGGAGGAAAAGUAAUGGCUAUCCAUUUGGCAGCCUCAGCUACCAAAUUACCUUAACACAAAGAAUUAAUGUAAACAUAUGGGAGAGUGCUAUUUAAACCUGAUUUGAUGUCUUUACCUUGAUAUUAUAUCUAUACCUAUGUAUAUAUAAUAGCAAAAUAUCUAUAUCAAUGUCUGUAUCAGUUCUUUAUCUAGCUAUAUCACCUUGUUAUCUCAAUAAUUUAGAAGUUGUUAUAUCUUUUUUUACAAAUGAAAAUAAAUGUUAUAAUUAUGAAAGGAAUACAUUUUUGUUUCAGGAUAUUUGGAAAAUUAAAUUAAAUUAAAUUUAAGCCUAACAGCAUUUUGGGUUAUUCCCAUUUGUUUAAUAUUUAUUUAUUUUAAUAAUUAUACAAAUAUAAGUUAUAGUCUUGAAUUUUCAUUUAACAUUAUAUCAUGACAAAUUUCCAAGGGAUUAAAUAUGCUUUGGAAGCAUCUUUAUAUGACUGUGUAAUAUUCUGUCAAAUAUACAAAUUAUGUAACUAUUUACCUACCAUUGGAUAUGAUUAUUGCAGAUGUUUCAUCAUUAUAAAUAAUACUGUAGUGAACAUCUUUGCAUAUACAUCUGCCAACGUAUGUCUAAUUCUGGUAUUUCUUUAGAAGCAGAAUUACUUAAGAACUAUGAAAUUUUUUGAGAUAAUUGUCAAUUUUCUUUCCUAAAAUUAAGAUCAAUUUACAUUCUUACAAAUAAUGGAUAAGGGCCUGUUUUUGUUGAGAAUUAACAUUGAAAGCAUAUUUUGUCAAUUGUACGAAUUAUAAAUCAUACGUUAUUGUAUUUUUAUUGCAUUUUUCUUUAUUAGUGAGUUUGGUCAUUAAAAAAUAUAUUUAUUGCAAUUAAUAUUUUCCCAAUUAACAAUUGUCUGUUUAUGUUCUUCUUUAUUAGAAUAUUCAUAAUUUUUAG